AUUUCAAUAGCUUAAUUGGUUUAAGCGUUCGACUGUUAAUCGAAAGAUUCAAGGUUCAAAUCCUUGUUGAAAAG
RNAcentral lists this transfer RNA (74 nucleotides) under Phaeocystis antarctica. RNAcentral describes it as "tRNA-Asn". It matches the Rfam family "tRNA". Rfam says of the family: Transfer RNA (tRNA) molecules are approximately 80 nucleotides in length. Their secondary structure includes four short double-helical elements and three loops (D, anti-codon, and T loops). The record is from RNAcentral. Lineage: Eukaryota; Haptophyta; Phaeocystales; Phaeocystaceae.